GGGAUAUGUGGAAAACAGGAGGUGCGGAGGAAGGGGGUUGGUUUGUUAAUAAUAUUAGUAGCAUUCUCGGCGACGGUUACAAUAUAGCUUUUUGGAAGGAAAAAUGGUUAGGAAUGGUACCGUUAAGUGAAUUGUAUCCAUCUUUGUUUCAAAAAUCAACUCAUAAAGAUGCUUGCAUUUCAAAUAUGGGGAUAUGGAAUAACAACAUGUGGUCUUGGAAACU
RNAcentral lists this long non-coding RNA (223 nucleotides) under Trifolium pratense (red clover). Its description in RNAcentral is "long non-coding RNA (TPRA_LNC005989)". Lineage: Eukaryota; Viridiplantae; Streptophyta; Magnoliopsida; Fabales; Fabaceae. The record is from RNAcentral.